This 95-nucleotide non-coding RNA is filed under the name uncultured Lawsonibacter sp. The record is from RNAcentral. Lineage: Bacteria; Bacillati; Bacillota; Clostridia; Eubacteriales; Oscillospiraceae.
UGGGAGCUGUUCCCGGCUGAGAUGCAGAGGCGACGACGCCGCCUCCGGUCCCUUAAACCUGAUCCGGGUAAUGCCGGCGUAGGAAGUGGACGAGU